UGCCCUAGUAACGGCGAGUGAAGCGGCAACAGCUCAAAUUUGAAAUCUGGCGCAAGCCCGAGUUGUAAUUUGUAGAGGAUGCUUCUGGGCAGCGGCCGGUCUAAGUUCCUUGGAACAGGACGUCACGGAGGGUGAGAAUCCCGUAUGUGACCGGCGCGCACCCUCCACGUAGCUCCUUCGACGAGUCGAGUUGUUUGGGAAUGCAGCUCUAAAUGGGAGGUAAAUUUCUUCUAAAGCUAAAUACCGGCCAGAGACCGAUAGCGCACAAGUAGAGUGAUCGAAAGAUGAAAAGCACUUUGGAAAGAGAGUUAAAAAGCACGUGAAAUUGUUGAAAGGGAAGCGCUUGCAACCAGACUCCGCGGCGGUGUUCCGCCGGUCUUCUGACCGGUCUACUCGCCGCCGCGGGGCCAACAUCGUCUGGGGCCGCCGGACAAGACUGGAGGAAUGUGGCUCCCUCGGGAGUGUUAUAGCCUUCAGUGAUGCGGCGCGUCCCGGGCGAGGUCCGCGCUUCGGCAAGGAUGUUGGCGUAAUGGUUGCCAGCGGCCCGUCUUGAAACACGGACCAAGGAGUCUAACAUCUAUGCGAGUGUUCGGGUGUCAAACCCCUACGCGUAAUGAAAGUGAACGGAGGUGGGAGCUUCGGCGCACCAUCGACCGAUCCUGAUGUCCUCGGAUGGAUUUGAGUAAGAGCAUAGCUGUUGGGACCCGAAAGAUGGUGAACUAUGCCUGAAUAGGGUGAAGCCAGAGGAAACUCUGGUGGAGGCUCGCAGCGGUUCUGACGUGCAAAUCGAUCGUCAAAUUUGGGUAUAGGGGCGAAAGAC
This 820-nucleotide ribosomal RNA is filed under the name Microcyclosporella mali. Its description in RNAcentral is "eukaryotic LSU rRNA". It matches the Rfam family "Eukaryotic large subunit ribosomal RNA", at positions 76 to 931 of the family's 3401-position model. Lineage: Eukaryota; Fungi; Ascomycota; Dothideomycetes; Mycosphaerellales; Mycosphaerellaceae. The record is from RNAcentral.